Molecule: ribosomal RNA, 119 nt
Filed under: Pteropus alecto (black flying fox)
Lineage: Eukaryota; Metazoa; Chordata; Mammalia; Chiroptera; Pteropodidae
Source: RNAcentral
GUCUAUGGCCAUUCCACCCUGAACAAGCCUGAUCCUUUCUGAUCUCGGAAGCUAAGCAGGAUCAGGCCUAGUUAGUACUUGGAUGGGAGAUCACCUAGGAAGACCAGGUGCUGUAGGAG